GCAAUGCCGCGUGUGUGAAGAAGGCCUUCGGGUUGUAAAGCACUUUCGGUGGGGACAAACAAGGCGGAGCUAACAUCUCCGUCCCUGAUGGUACCCAAAGAAGAAGCACCGGCUAACUCUGUGCCAGCAGCCGCGGUAAUACAGAGGGUGCAAGCGUUAAUCGGAAUUACUGGGCGUAAAGCGUGCGUAGGUGGUUUGUUGAGUCAGGUGUGAAAUCCUCGGGCUCAACCCGGGAACUGCGCUUGAUACUGACAGACUCGAGUGUGGUAGAGGAUAGUGGAAUCCCCGGUGUAGCGGUGAAAUGCGUAGAUAUCGGGAGGAACAUCAGUGGCGAAGGCGGCUAUCUGGACCAACACUGACACUGAGGUACGAAAGCGUGGGUAGCAAACAGGAUUAGAUACCCUGGUAGUCCACGCCCUAAACGAUGGGUACUAGACGUCGGGAAGCUUGUCUUCUUGGUGUCGCAGCUAACGCAAUAAGUACCCCGCCUGGGGAGUACGGUCGCAAGAUUA
This 512-nucleotide ribosomal RNA is filed under the name uncultured Pseudomonadota bacterium. Its description in RNAcentral is "bacterial SSU rRNA". It matches the Rfam family "Bacterial small subunit ribosomal RNA", at positions 391 to 896 of the family's 1533-position model. Lineage: Bacteria; Pseudomonadati; Pseudomonadota. The record is from RNAcentral.